RNAcentral lists this small nucleolar RNA (138 nucleotides) under Ornithorhynchus anatinus (platypus). Lineage: Eukaryota; Metazoa; Chordata; Mammalia; Monotremata; Ornithorhynchidae. The record is from RNAcentral.
AACCCCUUAGGGUUGCACCUGGAGAGUUUCCAGUACUCUAUCAGUCUCGAUUACAGGAGGGAGAGUCAAGCAGAGGCGUAUCCAUUCCAUUACUAUCUUAGGCAGUGGCUAGAGAGUGGAAGGCAAUCUGCUACAAGU